GAAAAAUUUGAUUCUGGUUUUUAUUGAUAUUUUUUUGGUAAUUAUAAUAUGUAAGUAUUUGCGUGAUUUUGGAUCUAUUUUAAUAAUGGUUUUAUUGUUUUAUUCGCAGUUUUUAAUAUUAUAUAUUAAAUAAUUUUAGAUAUAGUUAACUAUUAUAUGACUAGCAAAAAUUGUGCCAGCAGCUGCGGUUAUACAAUUAGUCAUAGUUAUCUUUUUUGGAAUUUUAUUUUAUCAGGUAUGUUAUAUUUUGACUAUAAUAUUUAAUUUUUAAAGUGAAAUUUAAUAUUAUUGUAAUUAGUUUGGUUAACUUGUAUUAUAAGAAAUUUUUGAAUUAAACUAGGAUUAGAUACCCUAUUAUUUUAAAUGUAAAUUAUUUUUUCAGUAUUAUAAGUUAUGAUCUUUAAAUUGAAAGAAUUUGACGGUAAUUUUAAUCAUUUUAGGGGAACCUGUUCUGUAAUUGAUAAUCCACGAUAAAUUUUACUUUGGUUUUGGUUUGUAUAUCUCUGUCUGAUUGAAUGUUUUAUUAGAAAAUUUUCUUGAAUUUUUAUUGAAUUAUAUGUCAGGUCAAGGUGCAAUUAUAUCAGAGUUUGAAAUGGGUUACAUUUAAUUUAUGAUUAUUGGAUUAGCUUUUGUAUUUUGGCUAUGAAAUUGGAUUUAAUUGUAAUGAACAAAAUAUUUUGUUCAUGAUAUAUGUUCUUGAUUAAGUACAUAUCGCCCGUCACUCUCAUUAUAAGAUGAGAUAAGUCGUAACAAAGUAGUCCUAUCGGAAGAUGGGGCUGGAAUUAUA
RNAcentral lists this non-coding RNA (787 nucleotides) under Dybowskyia reticulata. Lineage: Eukaryota; Metazoa; Arthropoda; Insecta; Hemiptera; Pentatomidae. The record is from RNAcentral.